AGACAGAUGGCCUUAAGUUCUCCUGCAGAAUGUCUUGAUAAACUUGGGAAUUCAUUUUUCCUUCGAUGAUAGCAAUCCGUCCAAGCCCUGACGCAGCAAAGCAGCCCCAAACCAUGAUGCCCCCACCACCAUACUUCACAGUUGGGAUGAGGUUUUGAUGUUGGUGUGCUGUGCCUUUUUUUCACCACACGUAGUGUUGUGUGUUUCUUCCAAACGACUCAACUUUGG
Molecule: non-coding RNA, 228 nt
Organism: Pelobates cultripes (western spadefoot toad)
Lineage: Eukaryota; Metazoa; Chordata; Amphibia; Anura; Pelobatidae
Source: the annotation of a GenBank genome assembly